Long non-coding RNA from Crotalus tigris (Tiger rattlesnake), 3141 nucleotides. RefSeq lists it as uncharacterized. The transcript has 3 exons. NCBI's taxonomy places the organism in Eukaryota, Metazoa, Chordata, Lepidosauria, Squamata, Viperidae. The record is from RefSeq and is a predicted model, not a curated record.
CGGGCAGAUAGAGGCUGAUCUUCUGAAAGGGAAGCCCAGGGGGAAGCUGGGCAAAGGAGAGAGCCAUGAAGUCCAGCAGCCACCAAAUGCUCCCCAAGGGAGCCCCUCCAGCCAAGAGCCCAACAAGUGCCAGGCCAGGGGGAACCGGACUCAGGGCCGUGGCCCGUUUUCUGUCUCUCCCGGAAAAGGACGGCAUUUGGCCUCUCCGAAGAAGCCCCUGGGCCAGCACGCCAUUCCUAGGGGCAACUGGGCUCCCCUCUUCCUGGUGCCCACCACUUUAGGAGUGGCAGGGAGACCCCUUGGUCUGCCAGCCAUGUUGAUCUUUCAGCAAGUGCUUCAGAGCGGCCCAGCAGGCUGGGGGCCAAGCGGCCAUUCUCCUCCUCCUCCUCAGGGGUCCUGAGGGGCGACUGACCAUGGAGAGACAGGACUCACACCAAAUGUAUUUAGAGAGUGGCCACCCGUGGCAAGCCCUGGGAGAGUGUUCCACGACCCUGGAGAGCCUCCUCAGAUGCCUCUCAGCGCAGUCCUGCUGCUUUGGCUGCUUUGACCACCCAGGCAGAGCCAGCUAGAAAGACUCUGUAGGACAGACUACACUAGACCCACAUACUUCCUCUUGCUGAGGCUCUGCUGGCCCGGGUCAGGCCUCCUGGCUUGGCUGCCAAAGGAUGUGUGGGCCUCUGUGCCCAUCUCUAUAAAUUAUGUUGCAAAUGAAUUUAAAACCACUCUCUGGCCAGGGCAGGAAAUUGAAUUGGAGCUUUUUCAUACGCUUAUUGUAAGACUAGCAAUGCUGCAGCCCAUUUGGGCCAUGAAGGAUGUGCCUUUAUGCAAAACUUUGUUAUCACAGAAAUCGUUUUUUUAAAGGCAGAGAAGCAGAGGGAGGAAGGGGCUGCAAGAAAGCACCAGAGCUCCUGCUUAAACGACAGGCACUCAUGAAUAGGUUGCACACCACGGAGAGGGCAUGGAAUGGAUUGGACCGCAUCCAUUGUGCUGCAGAACAUCUGGCUAGCAUGCCAGUCAAGGAGACACAAAGGACUGCGACAUAAGUGUAAUGGGGAGGGGGAGGGAGCAGGAGAAGGGGCUUCAUUUUCCAGUCUUUCCAGUCAACAGACGGAGAUUUUCUCCUUCGUAUUUCUUAAAAGGGACUUGUAGCCUUGCGUGUCUCCUCGCAGCAUCUUUCAGCUCCGAGGCGUGAAAGCAAUCAGGAUGUGAUCUUGAGCCCAAAAGGGAUUUCCCUGCCAGCCAGAGAAGACACCUCUCUGCCUGAUGCCUCCUGGACGAUCCUCAGGGCUGAUCCCUCCUCGGGGCAGAGGCCGAGUCCCUGGGUUGCACAAGGAAAGGUCUCCCUUCCAAAGCCUCAGUCAGCCCCUCCCUGCUGAGUCCCCAUUGGGGCUUCUAGAACACAGGAGUGGAGGAACCUUCUCUUCUCCAGGGCAGCCAUUCAUGCCAGCACCAUUAAUGAGCAGCAGAGCCCCCCCCCGGGAUUUGUGGGAAGGGACAGCCUGCAGCCCGAGGGAGAAAAGCAAAGGGAAUCCCACAGUCCGCCCCUCCCCACCCGGGCGAGGCAGCGCAGCAGGGAAAAGCCAGCGCUGACCCCAGAGGGGCGCUGCAAAGGGAGGCGCUCACCAGAGGGACGGCCACCUUCCUGGGCAAGCAACCUUUGAACCUACAGGGUGGCUGGCCUUGACCUGGAGCCCCUGCCCCGCAGGCAGACGGCUCCCACUCGGUCCGUUCUUUGCAUGCCAUCCGUUCAGACGCGCUUCCUGGUCUGCCGAGCGUGCCAGCUCGCUACCCCAUCUGGCUGCCCAUAUGAAAGGAGGGAAACGCGGCUCCAGAAUUUUGACCGAGCAGCGCCAAGCCCGCCUGUCCAGAACCCCUCCCCGCCCGGCCUCCGCUCUGAAACCCCACUGAAACCCAGGUCGUCUGAGUCCUAAGGCGUUUCAGAAGAGGGAAGGGAGAAGCGAGGCUGAACUCCAGCCAGGAAGCCGGGCUCCGGCCGGGCAGGCGGAGAGGCUACCCGCGCCCGAAACGCAGGUGCCAGCGCCACGGACGUGGGAACGCAGGAGAGCCGGGGAAGAGCGGCCCCUCGCGUUGAGUGGCAUUCAGGCGAUCCUCGGCUUCGCCGCUCGUGGUUCUCCGGCUGCCGAGCUGCGAAUCCGCUUCCGUUCGCCCCCCUUCCCAAGACGGGAGCCCUCAGUUGGACGGCAGCAGCUCGGCCUGGUGGUUCCUCUGAACGCAGCAGGGCCGGCCCUGGGCAUCUUCCCGCAGCCGCAGAGGGAAAGGCCAGCAGCCAGGCGGGCCUGGGGAAGGCGGUUUCCAGCCCACCGGUCUGAGACGGUCAUCGAUCAGUUUUAACGUGCAAUAAAUCCAGUCUGGCUUUACCCCGGCAGAGCUCCUUCGAACGCUGCUACCUCCAGUUCCGAAGGGGGCGCCUGGCGGAUCCCGCCUCGGGAAGGGCGGCAUCCUCACGAUACUCUCAGCCUCCGGGGAGCCGGAACGCCUGGCUGACAGAAGAGCAGACCUUUCGCAGCACUGACAGGGGUAAAGAAAGAAAGCAACUUGGGAGAAACACCUGGAGGUGGAGACAAAGGUGGGAAAGAAACGCACCAGCACCCAGCAGGCCUUCCGACUGACAUUGGACAGCUGUUGCAAGCAAUAAACUCCACCAGGAAGCAAAUGCUGUGGACACAGAAGGGUGAACUAUCAGAUGCCCGGAUAUUUUCUCCUGAACUGGUGAAAUCAACUUGUUGGGAGCUGCAGGAUCUCCUCUUGGCCUUCAGCUGCAAUUGGCCAGCUGGGCAAAGCUUUCCCCAACCCGUCCCCUUGGUUAACUCUGCUGGGAGCUGCUCACUGGCUGCACAAUGUUUCUGUGUGCCAAUUGCUAUUAAGGUAAGCAAGAGCAGCAGAGUUCACGGGAAUGGACUGCAGGGAAGGGUGAGAAUUCACAAAUACUAUGUGCCUUUUGUGCAGUUUUUCCAGUGUGGACUCCAGCCAGAGUUGCUAUUUCAUCUGCUAAAUCAACACUUUUCCCAAAACAAGAAAAAGCAGAUUGCGCAUAAACAGUUGCGAAUAAUAUGGCAAGGAUUUUGCAAUCUUCCCCCUUGAGUUUAUACGGUACACAAUCUCUGGUCCUGCUUGUGUAAG